CACUCCUGCGGGAGGCAGCAGUGGGGAAUUUUGGACAAUGGGCGAAAGCCUGAUCCAGCAAUGCCGCGUGAGUGAAGAAGGCCUUCGGGUUGUAAAGCUCUUUUGUCAGGGAAGAAACGGUGAGAGCUAAUAUCUUUUGCUAAUGACGGUACCUGAAGAAUAAGCACCGGCUAACUACGUGCCAGCAGCCGCGGUAAUACGUAGGGUGCAAGCGUUAAUCGGAAUUACUGGGCGUAAAGCGUGCGCAGGCGGUUUUGUAAGUCUGAUGUGAAAUCCCCGGGCUCAACCUGGGAAUUGCAUUGGAGACUGCAAGGCUAGAAUCUGGCAGAGGGGGGUAGAAUUCGACGUGUAGCAGUGAAAUGCGUAGAUAUGUGGAGGAACACCGAUGGCGAAGGCAGCCCCCUGGGUCAAGAUUGACGCUCAUGCACGAAAGCGUGGGGAGCAAACAGGAUUAGAUACCCUUGUAGUCCCAUG
RNAcentral lists this ribosomal RNA (474 nucleotides) under uncultured organism. RNAcentral's name for it is "partial 16S ribosomal RNA". It matches the Rfam family "Bacterial small subunit ribosomal RNA", at positions 334 to 799 of the family's 1533-position model. The record is from RNAcentral.